RNAcentral lists this ribosomal RNA (439 nucleotides) under uncultured bacterium. RNAcentral describes it as "partial 16S ribosomal RNA". It matches the Rfam family "Bacterial small subunit ribosomal RNA", at positions 338 to 794 of the family's 1533-position model. The record is from RNAcentral.
CCUACGGGAGGCAGCAGUAGGGAAUAUUGCUCAAUGGGGGAAACCCUGAAGCAGCAAAGCCGCGUGGAGGAUGAAGGUUUUCGGAGUGUAAACUCCUUUUGUUAGAGAAGAUAAUGACGGUAUCUAACGAAUAAGCACCGGCUAACUCCGUGCCAGCAGCCGCGGUAAUACGGAGGGUGCAAGCGUUACUCGGAAUCACUGGGCGUAAAGAGCGCGGAGGCGGGAUAGCAAGUCAGAUGUGAAAUCCUAUGGCUUAACCAUAGAACUGCAUUUGAAACUGUUAUUCUAGAGUAUGGGAGAGGUAGGUGGAAUUCUUGGUGUAGGGGUAAAAUCCGUAGAGAUCAAGAGGAAUACUCAUUGCGAAGGCGACCUGCUAGAACAUAACUGACGCUGAUGCGCGAAAGCGUGGGGAGCAAACAGGAUUAGAUACCCGGGUAGU